This 465-nucleotide ribosomal RNA is filed under the name uncultured bacterium. RNAcentral describes it as "partial 16S ribosomal RNA". It matches the Rfam family "Bacterial small subunit ribosomal RNA", at positions 28 to 507 of the family's 1533-position model. The record is from RNAcentral.
GACGAACGCUGGCGGCGUGCUUAACACAUGCAAGUCGAACGGAAAGGCCCCUUUGGGGGUACUCGAGUGGCGAACGGGUGAGUAACACGUGAGUAACCUGCCCUUGACUUCGGGAUAACUUCAGGAAACUGGGGCUAAUACCGGAUAGGAAUCCUUGCUGCAUGGUGGGGGUUGGAAAGCUUCGGCGGUUUUGGAUGGACUCGCGGCUUAUCAGCUUGUUGGUGGGGUAGUGGCUUACCAAGGCUUUGACGGGUAGCCGGCCUGAGAGGGCGACCGGCCACAUUGGGACUGGGAUACGGCCCAGACUCCUACGGGAGGCAGCAGUGGGGAAUAUUGCACAAUGGGCGGAAGCCUGAUGCAGCAACGCCGCGUGCGGGAUGACGGCCUUCGGGUUGGAAACCGCUUUCAGCAGGGGCGAAGCUUGUGGUGACGGUACCUGCAGAAGAAGCACCGGCUAACUACGUG